GAUGAACGCUGGCGGCGUGCCUAAUACAUGCAAGUCGAGCGAACGGACGAGAAGCUUGCUUCUCUGAUGUUAGCGGCGGACGGGUGAGUAACACGUGGAUAACCUACCUAUAAGACUGGGAUAACUUCGGGAAACCGGAGCUAAUACCGGAUGAUAUUUUGAACCGCAUGGUUCAAAAGUGAAAGACGGUCUUGCUGUCACUUAUAGAUGGAUCCGCGCUGCAUUAGCUAGUUGGUAAGGUAACGGCUUACCAAGGCAACGAUGCAUAGCCGACCUGAGAGGGUGAUCGGCCACACUGGAACUGAGACACGGUCCAGACUCCUACGGGAGGCAGCAGUAGGGAAUCUUCCGCAAUGGGCGAAAGCCUGACGGGGCAACGCCGCGUGAGUGAUGAAGGUCUUCGGAUCGUAAAACUCUGUUAUUAGGGAAGAACAUAUGUGUAAGUAACUGUGCACAUCUUGACGGCACCUAAUCAGAAAGCCACGGCUAACUACGUG
RNAcentral lists this ribosomal RNA (497 nucleotides) under uncultured bacterium. RNAcentral's name for it is "partial 16S ribosomal RNA". It matches the Rfam family "Bacterial small subunit ribosomal RNA", at positions 28 to 507 of the family's 1533-position model. The record is from RNAcentral.